This 491-nucleotide ribosomal RNA is filed under the name uncultured bacterium. RNAcentral's name for it is "partial 16S ribosomal RNA". It matches the Rfam family "Bacterial small subunit ribosomal RNA", at positions 29 to 507 of the family's 1533-position model. The record is from RNAcentral.
AGUGAACGCUGGCGGUAGGCCUAACACAUGCAAGUCGAACGGCAGCACAGUAAGAGCUUGCUCUUACGGGUGGCGAGUGGCGGACGGGUGAGGAAUACAUCGGAAUCUACUUUUUCGUGGGGGAUAACGUAGGGAAACUUACGCUAAUACCGCAUACGACCUACGGGUGAAAGCAGGGGAUCUUCGGACCUUGCGCGAUUGAAUGAGCCGAUGUCGGAUUAGCUAGUUGGCGGGGUAAAGGCCCACCAAGGCGACGAUCCGUAGCUGGUCUGAGAGGAUGAUCGGCCACACUGAAACGGAAAACGGGUCCAGACUCCAACGGGAGGCAGCGGGGGGAAUAUUGGACAAUGGGCGCAAGCCUGAUCCAGCCAUACCGCGUGGGUGAAGAAGGCCUUCGGGUUGUAAAGCCCUUUUGUUGGGAAAGAAAAGCAGCAGGUUAAUACCCCGCUGUUCUGACGGUACCCAAAGAAUAAGCACCGGCUAACUUCGUG